This 1590-nucleotide ribosomal RNA is filed under the name Myelochroa aurulenta. Its description in RNAcentral is "partial 18S small subunit ribosomal RNA". It matches the Rfam family "Eukaryotic small subunit ribosomal RNA", at positions 149 to 1278 of the family's 1831-position model. The record is from RNAcentral. Lineage: Eukaryota; Fungi; Ascomycota; Lecanoromycetes; Lecanorales; Parmeliaceae.
GUGGUAAUUCUAGAGCUAAUACAUGCUGAAAACCCCGACUUCGGAAGGGGUGUAUUUAUUAGAUAAAAAACCAAUGCCCUUCGGGGCUCCUUGGUGAUUCAUGAUAACUCAACGAAUCGCAUGGCCUUGCGCCGGCGAUGGUUCAUUCAAAUUUCUGCCCUAUCAACUUUCGAUGGUAGGAUAGUGGCCUACCAUGGUUUCUACGGGUAACGGGGAAUUAGGGUUCUAUUCCGGAGAGGGAGCCUAAGAAACGGCUACCACAUCCAAGGAAGGCAGCAGGCGCGCAAAUUACCCAAUCCCGACACGGGGAGGUAGUGACAAUAAAUACUGAUACAGGGCUCUUUUGGGUCUUGUAAUUGGAAUGAGUACAAUUUAAAUCCCUCAAUCGUUAGGGGGUGCCAGCAGCUGCUAUUAAUUAGUGGCCACGCCCUUCUCGUUCGGGGAGCCCUGUCCGACAUCGGUCAGGGCGAUCCGAGGCCUCGCCUGCAGGUUCAGAGACUAGACAGGGGCGGGCGAGCCCGAAGGCUCGUUCAUGAGAUAGUCCGACCCGGUGGCUUGCGUCAUUGGUACAAGUGUAACGAGGAACAAUUGGAGGGCAAGUCUGGUGGGCACCUUCGUGUCUCGGCAGUGCAUCGUCGUGCACAUCUCCUGCUGACGCCAGCUAUUGAUCGACCUCCCGCCAUGGCGCCGAGGUUGAUCCAGUGGGCAUUGGCCCGCGAGGCAUUCGGCACGGGGAAAGGCCAUUCGUGGCUUCAUCCCGUGGGGAGAGGAGUUUAUCCUCACCCCUUAACGCGCGCAAGGGUGCCGGUGGUCGUGAGGAUCAUCUAAGGUACGUGCUAAUCCCGCCCGGAGGGGCAACAGCACCCUUCUUAGGGUGUUGUGUGGGCACAUUUUGGCCAGCAGCCGCGGUAAUUCCAGCUCCAAUAGCGUAUAUUAAAGUUGUUGCAGUUAAAAAGCUCGUAGUUGAAACUUGGCCUUGGCUGACCGGUCCGCCUCACCGCGUGCACUGGUUCGGCCGGUGAAAUUCUUGGAUUUAUUGAAGACUAACUACUGCGAAAGCAUUUGCCAAGGAUGUUUUCAUUAAUCAGUGAACGAAAGUUAGGGGAUCGAAGACGAUCGUAUCUGGUCGUCCAUAGCAAAUCUAGUCGGGGGCCUCGCCUCUGGCCACAUCAUCAAACUGAUGGGGCUCCCGCUUCCUGCGGCCGACCCACAGCCAAGCUCUUCGGAGUGCAGUCUACAGACUGUAUGUUGAUGGGCGGGCUUCGAGGAGCCCGUUUCUAAUAUAGUCGAGUCUUGUCGGACACCCGAUAAGGAUUCACGCAGAUACCGUCGUAGUCUUAACCAUAAACUAUGCCGACUGGGGAUCGGACGGUGUUAUUAUUUUGACCCGUUCGGCACCCUACGAGAAAUCAAAGUCUUUGGGUUCUGGGGGGAGUAUGGUCGCAAGGCUGAAACUUAAAGACAUUGACGGAAGGGCACCACCAGGCGUGGAGCCUGCGGCUUAAUUUGACUCGACACGGGGAAACUCACCAGGUCCAGACAUAUUAAGGAUUGACAGAUUGAGAGCUCUUUCUUGAUUAUAUGGGUGGU